UGUUCAAUGAUCUGCAAGCUCUUGCUGGUCAGGUAAGAUGAGAGCGGUAUCACUCAUAGAAAUUAGUGCUGCAACUGCCCUUUAUACGAUGGUGUCAAUCCGAGAAGAGAAAGCAAGGAGCCGUCAGCAAUGGCUAGGCGAGUGACCUUAUUCCAGAUUAUUCAUUCAUACGAAUGAUUAUGAAGCAAUUAAGUUGAGAUAGUUGCUUCACCUCCCAUCCUAUACUCCUUAUGUUCAUUAAUUUCUUGAAUGUAUGCUUCACUUUUGUUAACACCAUCAAUUACUAAGAUGCUAGGGUAAAUUCUCUGUUAAAGUUUUUCUUUUUCCGCACUUAUAUCUACAUACGACCGAUCCUAUGUUUCCUAGAGCUAUAUUGCUAUCUCCCGGGCACUCUAUUGGUGAAUAAAAUUCUGCUAGGUUAUGUACAACAUGUUGUGCAUGGCAGCUUGAAGCAGUGGAUCAAGUUGUGCAAGUCACCCCGUAUUGGGUGGCACGCUGCCCAAUUGGUGGUAGACAACGGAAUUUCUUCUUGGCAUGCUGCAAGAUACACUUCGACUAGGUGUUGGGUGCUGCCUUUGUUGUUAAGCACAGUGGCGAGGUUGUGGAUGACGAGGAUGAUCGAUUAGGCGGCAAGUUCGAUGGUGCUCCGGACUCCCAUGCAGGUGUUCGAAGGAGCGACUACCUUGUAUGCAGUUUCCUACAAGGGACAAGGUGCCACUGUGAAAGGGACGACAACUCCCCACAUAUGUUGCCUAGCAUUGACAAUAAGGCUGAUCUAUCACAGCACCAUGGCCACUACAUCAUCAGCAAGUAAGGGUUGUUGCAGAAUUAUUAUAUGUCCUGAAUCUGGUUGAUUAGAUUACCAACUGGCUAGGAUUAGUUUUAUUCAUUCUCAUAGGUAUAGUGAGCCACAUGAUAUAUUUGCUGCAGGGAGCAGCCAUAUUACUGUGAUCUUCCUUUUCUUCAUCUUUCUUUUAGAUUUAUUGAACCUAGGAAGCGGCGGUAAAGAUCUGGUUGUUGUGGAGGUGCCUCCUGCCGUCCUGGCCAUAUGAGAUGGGUGAGCGCUGGCGAACAGAAGGCUGCUAAGGACGCCAGAAUCAGCGGUGAAUUGGAGGUUGAGAGAGAGAUAGGGGAUCGGGGCGGUCUGGGUGCUGCAGUACCAGCAGUUGAAUUUUCUCCAUUGCAUUCAUCUGAAACUUUCUCAGCAAAUCAAAUACAAAAUAACAAGAAUCCGUUCUCUGUUUCUACUAAGGUACGUCACGUGUCAAUCACGACAGCUGCUUACUUUGCAGGAAAGUGCCCUGUGAUCUUGUCUCCUAUUUUAAUCCAUAUAUCGUCUUGUAGUCGAGAACAGCAAAGGCAAGUCAAGGUUAUCCAGAACUCUGAAGGUCUUACUUCCCAAGAUAAAUCACUCUCAUCACAAUGGUUCGACCUUCCUAAUGUGUGGUUCUGUUUGAUGGCAUUCAUGAAAAUAAUUGAGUGAAAUUCAUCAAACAUAGUUUACCAUUUGGGGAAUAGUCACAGAGUGCAUAGAUACGUCUGUUGUGUUUGAGAAUAUUCAUGUUUUACCAAUACUUCCGAUUUAUUGAUCAUUUAAUAGAUUUAGAAGUUCCUUUUCUAGCUAUUCAUUUAUAUCCAUAGUCGUCACCAUAUAUCAAUUGAAUCCAUGUUGGUUUCUAGAUAUUAAAACUGUUCAUAAAAUUUUGUAGGCUUACAAUUUACGUAGAGAUAAAUAUGAAAUACUCCUAGCUGAAAGAAAUGGGGAACACUUAAUUAAUGCAUUAGUUUUUACUACAAAAUGUGCAGAACUAGAGGAGGUUGGAAUAUGUUCUGAAUGCUUACGUUUGUGAAGUUCUUUUUGUUCAGUGGGAUGCUAACCAAGUAGGAUGAGACACAUAUCGUGCUAUGUCGUGUGCUGAUGGGUCGGCCAGAGGCCAUUAUGGUCGGGUCCUCUCAGUUCUACUUCAGCGGUAACAACUACAAUAGAGAUGUCAGCAACAUGUAGAAUCCACGACGGUACAUUUUUUGGAGCACGGACAUGGACACAAUAAUCGUACCAGAGUACUUCAUCAGCAUCAAGUUCCCCCAGUGUACAACACCUCCAAGGUUAGUGAGCAGCUGAGCGCUCUGUCCGAAACUAUGAAUUGAUCCUGCAGUUGUAUAGGAGGUUCUUGUGUGUCAUGUGGUUCACUGGAAACAUGUUUUCAGUAUCACUGGGAGCUUCCCGACCCUCGUUGAUGAGAUUCAGUGGUUCGUUGUCACCCCCCAAGCUGCAAACAUUGCAGGGACCUUGCAAUCGAUUCAAGGUAAAUUAAUGUUCUUUGCCUCAGCUGCUGCAUUUGACUAAUGCAAUUGUGCGGUGCCUACCAUGCA
Molecule: long non-coding RNA, 2373 nt
Organism: Lolium rigidum
Lineage: Eukaryota; Viridiplantae; Streptophyta; Magnoliopsida; Poales; Poaceae
Exons: 3
Source: RefSeq, a predicted model, not a curated record